Molecule: ribosomal RNA, 399 nt
Filed under: uncultured bacterium
Lineage: Bacteria
Description: bacterial SSU rRNA
Rfam family: Bacterial small subunit ribosomal RNA
Source: RNAcentral
GGGGGAUAUUGCACAAUGGAGGAAACUCUGAUGCAGCGACGCCGCGUGAGUGAAAAAGGCCUUCGGGUCGUAAAGCUCUGUCCUAGGGGAAGAUAAUGACGGUACCCUAGGAGGAAGCCCCGGCUAACUACGUGCCAGCAGCCGCGGUAAUACGUAGGGGGCGAGCGUUGUCCGGAAUUACUGGGCGUAAAGAGUUCGUAGGCGGUUUGAUAAGUCAGAUGUGAAAGGCGUAGGCUUAACCUAUGUAAGCAUAUGAAACUGUCAGACUUGAGGUAAGGAGAGGAAAGUGGAAUUCCUAGUGUAGCGGUGAAAUGCGUAGAUAUUAGGAGGAAUACCAGUGGCGAAGGCGACUUUCUGGACUUAAACUGACGCUGAGGAACGAAAGCGUGGGGAGCAAAC